RNAcentral lists this ribosomal RNA (505 nucleotides) under uncultured bacterium. RNAcentral's name for it is "partial 16S ribosomal RNA". It matches the Rfam family "Bacterial small subunit ribosomal RNA", at positions 28 to 507 of the family's 1533-position model. The record is from RNAcentral.
GACGAACGCUGGCGGCGUGCCUAAUACAUGCAAGUCGAACGCACUGUUUAUACCGUAGCUUGCUACACCAUAGACUGUGAGUUGCGAACGGGUGAGUAACGCGUAGGUAACCUGCCUGGUAGCGGGGGAUAACUAUUGGAAACGCUAGCUAAUACCGCAUAAUAUUGAUUAUUGCAUGAUAAUUGAUUGAAAGCUGCUAUUGCAUCACUACCAGGUGGACCUGCGUUGUAUUAGCUAGUAGGUGAGGUAACGGCUCACCUAGGCGACGAUACAUAGCCGACCUGGGAGGGUGAUCAGCCACACUGGGACUGGGACACGGCCCAGACUCCUACGGGAGGCAGCAGUAGGGAAUCUUCGGCAAUGGACGAAAGUCUGACCGAGCAACGCCGCGUGAGUGAAGAAGGUUGUCGGAUCGUAAAGCUCUGUUGUAAGAGAAGAACGGGUGUGAGAGUGGAAAGUUCACACUGUGACGGUAGCUUACCAGAAAGGGACGGCUAACUACGUG